AGGCGCGCGCCAUAGUUAACCCCCAAAACUCAAUCUUCCCGAAGAAUGAAACCUCAUACUCCAUCUUCUCCUCCCUCAACCCAAAAACUCUUCUCUGAAGACGCAUCUAAAUCUCAAAAACCUCAUAUGCAGUACUCACCUUCAUCUCUCUCGCUCUCUGGCUACUGAUGGGUGAAGGGAAAGCAAAAGGAAGAUUGCCUGACUAUUAAGAACACAUAAGUUCUUCUAAUAUUUUUUCAGAAUUUCUUAUGUUUGUUUUGUUACGGAUGUUGUGUGCUCGACAUGAUUGCCUAGAUGAGUGCAUAUGUUAGGUUUGUAGCUCUAAUCAUUAUGGCAUGUUAGAUUUAUCCUUAUAAUACUAUCUUGUGGACUUUGUGUGUAAUGGUUUUCAGGCCCUAAAUGUUUUCAAUUGAAUUUUAAAGUCUCGCAGCAAAUUUGCUUUGCCGUUUUUGGUUUUCAAAUCGUAUUCCCUAGGAUUCAAACUAUGAAUUUUAUGUUUACUGGCAUUAACAUUCCUUCCUAGGACGAUGAUUGAGGCAAUAGUUAUUGAGACUAGUUCUUUCUGUGAACGCAGCCUUGCUAGUAUUACAUGCAAUAAGCUAAAUAUUGUAUAGAUCUGUUCUCACUUAGUUGUCUUCUCAAACAAAAAAAAAAAAUGUCAUGUAGUUUGAUACUUCAUAAUCUGUUUGCAUCUUAUUAAUUGUUUGGCUUUGCAGCUUCUUUGCAUAUUACUCGGAGGCUAGUCUGCUUUGUCCUCUAUUCUCUAUCCUCUAUCUUCCACUCGUCAUUAAUGGUUUGAGUCUAAUUCCAGAUAUUCAAUCUGAUUGCUAAGGAUAAAUAAGGACAAAUCGUGGAUAGAUUUAGCAGAUAGGCAUUCUCCAUCAUAUUAUAAUGGAAUAGAUCAGUUUUUGACUUUUGCUGGUCAGACUUGUCCAACAAGCUUUAGGAGCUCCUAAUGUAGGAACACAUCAUCAGAAUAAUGAAGAAAGCUCAAUUAAUCCUCAUGUAGGGCCAAACGAGCCUACCAAGAAGUUCUUGAAGCUUCUUGAAGAUGCAAACCUUCCAUUGUAUCCGGGUUCUAAGAGACACAUAACUUUGUCAUAUACGGUUCGGCUUUUGCAAGUGACGGUACUUCAUGGAUGGACAGAUAAAUCCUUCAAAACUUUACUUGAGAUAUCAGCAGAAUCUAUGCUUGAAGGUGUGCAACUUCCUAAGUCAUAUUAUGAAGCCCAGAAGUUAACAGAAGUUCUCGGAUUCACUUAUAAAAUAGCAGAUGCAUGCCCUAACAGUUGCAUGCUGUUUAGAAAUGAAGACAUAAAUUUGGAUGAAUGCAGAAUAUGCAAGACAUCUCGAUGGAAAGAUAAUGGUGGUAGUUCAAAUGAUGAUGUAGCACUUGGGAAACGAAAACAAGCAAGAUAUUUUCCUUUAAAACCAAGGUUACAAAAGUUGUUUAUGACUUCAAAAACAGCAAAGCUUAUGAGAUGACAUGGAGAGGAAAGAAUUGAUGAUGGUAUGUUUAGACAUCCUGCAGACUCUCUUGCAUGGAAAGAUUUUAACCAAAAACACACAAAUUUUUCAGAAGACAUUCGCAAUGUAAGGCUUGGGUUAGCAUUACAUGGAUUCAACCCAUUCAGGUCUAUGGUACCUGGCCUAUCAUAUUGGUUCCCUACAAUUUACCACCUAUGAUGUGCAUGAAGCAGCCCUUUAUAUUUCUAUCUGUUCUUAUUGAUGGUCCUAAGACACCUGGUGAUAAAAUUGAUGUCUACAUGCAGCCACUCAUUGAAGAAUUGAAGGAAUUGUAUGAAGAUGGUGAAGAAACAUUUGAUGCAUUCAGCAAUAAAAUGUUUAAAAUGCGUGUUGUAUUGUUAUGGACGAUUAAUGACUUUCCUGCCUAUGCCAACUUGUCGGGGUGGAGUACAAAAGGUGAAUUUGCUUGCCCAUCAUGCAACUCUGAAAGUGGUUACCAGCGGUUGAAAUUUGGUCAAAAAGCUUCAUACAAGACUCAUCGGCGGUGGUUACCCUAUGAUCACAAGUAUCGAGCAAAUCCAAGGUCAUUUAAUGGCAAUACAGAAUAUAGAAGCAAGCCUAAAACAUUAUCUGGUGCUGAUCUUCUUGCACAAUUGGAAUCAAAUGGUGUUCUUACAGAGUACAAGCGGGAAGAUCUAGAGCGAAGGAAGCUGCUUGGGGUGCAAAAACCUGAUAAUGAACCUUUGAAGAAAAAGAAGCAUAAUUGGAAGAAGAAAAGUAUGUUUUAUGAGCUUCCGUAUUGGAAAAACAACCUGAUACGUCACAACCUUGACGUGAUGCAUAUAGAAAAGAACAAUAUUAGGAGUUGCUGGAAAGUCUAAGGACAACUUGAAUUCUCGUCAUGAUCUGGAACUCAUGGGAAUUAGGGUGCAGUAUCAUCUAAAGAGGAGAGAGUCCAGUACAGAGUAUGCUGAUCCAGUUGAGUUUGAGAUGAACAAUAAGGGGAAAGAUAUGUUCUUUUCAGCCUUAUCGGGAUCAAGAAUGCCAGAUGGAGCUGCUUCUAAUAUUGCACGUCGAGUACGUUUACAAGAUUGUAGUAUUGGAGGUCUUAAGAGCCAUGAUAACCAUAUUCUAUUGCAACAACUUAUUCCUUUAUUUAUACGAAGUUCUUUACCAAAGAAUGUGGUUCAGGCAUUGAUUAAUCUGGGUAUUUUUUUAAACAGUUAUGCUCAAUGGAUAAGUGCAGCAGAUCUAGAAAAGACUCGUGCUCGUAUAGUGCUGACGCUUUGUGAACUUGAUCGAUGACAUUAAUUAAAGGUUUUAAGUAAAAUCUUGACAAGAAGAGAAAAAGUGAGAUUCAGCAAAUUUUCCAUGCACCACCACUUUUGCAGGCACAAGUACUUCGUGAAGCAAUCCCAGAAAAAUAGGAGUUUAAAUGGAGCAAUGAAGCCAUGGACCAUGAAGUACUGAUGCAAAGGACAAAGUUUGAUCACUCUUUUAGCCAUAAAUUACGAGGGAAGUCCACGACAAUCGUUAUGCAAAAGAGUUGUUGCAAAGCAGAAAACUGCAGUUUCAAAAUCAGCUUUUCAGGAACAGUUUUGGAGAGCAUUUCUUGCAUUCUUCCAACUGUAUCUUUACAGAAAGGGUCAGUAUUCCUUAAAUAUAUGAUGUUUUACUUCAACAUGAGCCAAAGAACUAGUCAUAAUCAUCAAUGAGGCAGCAGGAAAUCAAGUGCAAAGUAGGCUUCCCGAUAAGGCAGAAACUAUCAGCUUUUCACGAAGCUUUUUGGGAGAUCUUCUGGUGACUUAAUUGGAAUUUUUCUAGAAGGUUAUUGAUUAUUAUUGGAGAUAUGAUGUCAUAGAUCAUGGAUAAGUCAAGAACCAUCCAGAAUAACGGCAAUAUCAAGUCAAUCCUUGUCCAAGAAUUAAGCUUCAGAGAAAGAAAACGUAUCCUAGUCAAAACAGGGUAGUUUAGCCGAAAAUCUUCUUUGGGUAGAUUUCUUGUGCAUUUUUAGAAGGUCUAUGAUGCUGCAAUUAUCAAGGAGAGUCCGAGAAGAAUCCUACAAGAUUAUGUCAAGAUUAAUCCAUCAUAUUAUCUUUUGGAUAAUAGGUAUCCCUAUACACUUUUCUCCCAUGAUUGUCACCUUGACUUUGGUGACCCAAAACCACUCCAACACUUCAUUUUCAUGCUUCCCAUGCACAAUAAAGAGAGCUAGCUGCUCCUCUCUUCUCCCUUAGCCAGCUCCUCUCUUCUCCCUUAGCCAUAUUUUUCUACUCUACUCUCUUUAAUAGCUCAUUAUCACUUCCCUCUUUUUAAUUAAUCAAUCUCUUCCAUACCUUUUUCCCUUGUUUUUAGGAUCUAUUACCACUCCAACACUCUUCCUUUUAGCUCCAUUCAUGAAGCUAGUUGCACCCUUUGUCUUUCUUCAUCAUUUACACCUCUCUAUUCCCUAUAUAAGCAUCUCUUCAACCAUCACCGAUACCACCCCAUUACAUCUUCUAUCUCUCUCUCUCCACCACAAAACCUUCAUAUCCACCUCCCAAAAUCUAAACCCAUAAUACCCAUACUAUCCAUACUGCUCUAUCUCCUCCAUCACCACCACCAUUUCUUAUCCUUUACCUCCAUUAACACAUCAUUUCUCCACUCUCUUUUCUAUCAUCAGUUUCUCCAUCUACUCCACCUAUUCACACAAUACAUAAUACAAGCUUCAUUAUAUUUUAUCAUCAAAUGUUCAAGAGCAAGAAGGAGAGGGAAACACCACCACCACCAUCACCACCAAGAUGUGAGUUUGGGGACCAUCGACACACCACUAAGCCAACUCUAUCCCUUUUACUCUAGAUUAUAUUUUGGUGUUUAAUUUGAUUAUGAAGUUAGUAUAUGUAAUUAUAAGUGAGUAGUACUUUGUUGGGGCUAGGGUUGAAAGCUAGCCCUAGCCAAUCUUUUAUGGAUUGAUGCUAUAAUAUGAUGUUAUGCAAUUUUCUUUAACA
Rosa rugosa (rugosa rose) is the source of this 4454-nucleotide long non-coding RNA. RefSeq lists it as uncharacterized. The transcript is spliced from 4 exons. The record is from RefSeq and is a predicted model, not a curated record. Lineage: Eukaryota; Viridiplantae; Streptophyta; Magnoliopsida; Rosales; Rosaceae.